RNAcentral lists this ribosomal RNA (259 nucleotides) under uncultured bacterium. RNAcentral describes it as "partial 16S ribosomal RNA". It matches the Rfam family "Bacterial small subunit ribosomal RNA", at positions 334 to 594 of the family's 1533-position model. The record is from RNAcentral.
UUGCCCUACGGGGGGCAGCAGUGGGGAAUAUUGCACAAUGGGGGGAACCCUGAUGCAGCGACGCCGCGUGGGUGAAGGAGCACCUCGGUGCGUAAAGCCCUAUCGGCAGGGAAGAAAAGCGAACAGGUUCGCCUGGACGGUACCUGACUAAGAAGCCCCGGCUAACUACGUGCCAGCAGCCGCGGUAAUACGUAGGGGGCAAGCGUUAUCCGGAAUUACUGGGUGUAAAGGGAGAGUAGGCGGCAAGGUAAGCGAUAUG